This 447-nucleotide ribosomal RNA is filed under the name uncultured bacterium. Its description in RNAcentral is "bacterial SSU rRNA". It matches the Rfam family "Bacterial small subunit ribosomal RNA", at positions 328 to 792 of the family's 1533-position model. The record is from RNAcentral.
CGCCCAGACUCCUACGGGAGGCAGCAGUGGGGAAUAUUGCACAAUGGGGGGAACCCUGAUGCAGCGACGCCGCGUGGGUGAAGGAGUACUUCGGUACGUAAAGCCCUAUCAGCAGGGAAGAAGAUGACGGUACCUGACUAAGAAGCCCCGGCUAACUACGUGCCAGCAGCCGCGGUAAUACGUAGGGGGCAAGCGUUAUCCGGAUUUACUGGGUGUAAAGGGAGCGUAGACGGCGAUGCAAGCCAGAUGUGAAAGCCCGGGGCUCAACCCCGGGACUGCAUUUGGAACUGUGUGGCUGGAGUGUCGGAGAGGCAGGCGGAAUUCCUAGUGUAGCGGUGAAAUGCGUAGAUAUUAGGAGGAACACCAGUGGCGAAGGCGGCCUGCUGGACGAUGACUGACGUUGAGGCUCGAAAGCGUGGGGAGCAAACAGGAUUAGAUACCCUUGUA